This 497-nucleotide ribosomal RNA is filed under the name uncultured bacterium. RNAcentral's name for it is "partial 16S ribosomal RNA". It matches the Rfam family "Bacterial small subunit ribosomal RNA", at positions 28 to 507 of the family's 1533-position model. The record is from RNAcentral.
GAUGAACGCUGGCGGCGUGCCUAAUACAUGCAAGUCGAGCGAACAGACGAGGAGCUUGCUCCUCUGACGUUAGCGGCGGACGGGUGAGUAACACGUGGAUAACCUACCUAUAAGACUAGGAUAACUUCGGGAAACCGGAGCUAAUACCGGAUAAUAUAUUGAACCGCAUGGUUCAAUAGUGAAAGACGGUUUUGCUGUCACUUAUAGAUGGAUCCGCGCCGCAUUAGCUAGUUGGUAAGGUAACGGCUUACCAAGGCGACGAUGCGUAGCCGACCUGAGAGGGUGCUCGGCCACACUGGAACUGAGACACGGUCCAGACUCCUACGGGAGGCAGCAGUAGGGAAUCUUCCGCAAAGGGCGAAAGCCUGACGGAGCAACGCCGCGUGAGUGAUGAAGGUCUUCGGAUCGUAAAACUCUGUUAUUAGGGAAGAACAAAUGUGUAAGUAACUAUGCACGUCUUGACGGUACCUAAUCAGAAAGCCACGGCUAACUACGUG